AUGCUUAACACAUGCAAGUCGAACGGUAACAGAUAAGAUGAUCUCUUCGGAGUGAAUCUUUGCUGACGAGUGGCGGACGGGUGAGUAAUGCUUGGGAAUCUGCCCAAUAGUGGGGGAAAACUCGGGGAAACCCGGGCUAAUACCGCAUAAUCUCUACGGAGGAAAGAGGGCCUCUACUUGUAAGCUCUCGCUAAUGGAUGAGCCCAAGUCAGAUUAGCUAGUUGGUAAGGUAAUGGCUUACCAAGGCUACGAUCUGUAGCUGGUCUGAGAGGAUGAUCAGCCACACUGGGACUGAGACACGGCCCAGACUCCUACGGGAGGCAGCAGUGGGGAAUAUUGCACAAUGGGCGCAAGCCUGAUGCAGCAAUGCCGCGUGUGUGAAGAAGGCUCUCGGGUUGUAAAGCACUUUCAAUAGAGAAGAAAAGCUUGAAAUUAAUACCUUCAAGCCUUGACGUAACCUAUACAAGAAGCACCGGCUAAUUCCGUGCCAGCAGCCGCGGUAAUACGGAAGGUGCGAGCGUUAAUCGGAAUUACUGGGCGUAAAGCGAGCGUAGGCUGUUAAUUAAGUCGAAUGUGAAAUCCCCGGGCUCAACCUGGGAACUGCAUUCGAAACUAUUUAACUAGAGUAUGGGAGAGGAAAGUAGAAUUUCCGGUGUAGCGGUGAAAUGCGUAGAUAUCGGAAGGAACACCAGUGG
Molecule: ribosomal RNA, 695 nt
Filed under: uncultured bacterium
Lineage: Bacteria
Description: bacterial SSU rRNA
Rfam family: Bacterial small subunit ribosomal RNA
Source: RNAcentral